GGAGGUGCAUCCGUCCUGGUGGGCGGCGCGGUCUUCAAAACCGUUGCGGCGUCGUAACGGACGCCGGGUAGGUUCGAUUCCUACGCAUCUCCGCCA
RNAcentral lists this transfer RNA (96 nucleotides) under Actinomycetota bacterium. RNAcentral describes it as "tRNA-Sec". It matches the Rfam family "Selenocysteine transfer RNA". The record is from RNAcentral. Lineage: Bacteria; Bacillati; Actinomycetota.